GAGGGUAUAGCUCAGUGCUCAAUGGUAGAGUGCAUGCUUAGCAUGCAUGAAGUUCUGGGUCCAAUCCCCAGUACCUCCA
Molecule: transfer RNA, 79 nt
Filed under: Camelus bactrianus (Bactrian camel)
Lineage: Eukaryota; Metazoa; Chordata; Mammalia; Artiodactyla; Camelidae
Also listed under: 1 other name
Rfam family: tRNA
About the family: Transfer RNA (tRNA) molecules are approximately 80 nucleotides in length. Their secondary structure includes four short double-helical elements and three loops (D, anti-codon, and T loops). Further hydrogen bonds mediate the characteristic L-shaped molecular structure. tRNAs have two regions of fundamental functional importance: the anti-codon, which is responsible for specific mRNA codon recognition, and the 3' end, to which the tRNAs corresponding amino acid is attached (by aminoacyl-tRNA synthetases). tRNAs cope with the degeneracy of the genetic code in two manners: having more than one tRNA (with a specific anti-codon) for a particular amino acid; and 'wobble' base-pairing, i.e. permitting non-standard base-pairing at the 3rd anti-codon position.
Source: Rfam by way of RNAcentral